UACUUACUCCCUCCGUUCCAAAAUACUUGACUUUCAUUUGUCAAAAAUGGAUGUACUUACAUCCAUUUUUGACAAAUGAAAGUCAAGUAUUUUGGAACGGAGGGAGUAUUUG
This is a non-coding RNA of Triticum aestivum (bread wheat), 112 nucleotides long. The record is from Rfam. NCBI's taxonomy places the organism in Eukaryota, Viridiplantae, Streptophyta, Magnoliopsida, Poales, Poaceae.